AGAGUUUGAUCCUGGCUCAGAACGAACGCUGGCGGCAUGCCUAACACAUGCAAGUCGAACGAGCCUUCGGGUCUAGUGGCGCACGGGUGCGUAACGCGUGGGAACCUGCCCCUUGGUUCGGAAUAACACAGAGAAAUUUGUGCUAAUACCGGAUGAUGACUUCGGUCCAAAGAUUUAUCGCCGAGGGAUGGGCCCGCGUA
This 200-nucleotide ribosomal RNA is filed under the name uncultured bacterium. RNAcentral describes it as "partial 16S ribosomal RNA". It matches the Rfam family "Bacterial small subunit ribosomal RNA", at positions 8 to 237 of the family's 1533-position model. The record is from RNAcentral.